CGCGGCCUAUCAGCUAGUUGGUGGGGUAACGGCCUACCAAGGCAUUGACGGGUAGCUGGUCUGAGAGGAUGGCCAGCCACAUUGGGACUGAGAUACGGCCCAGACUCCUACGGGAGGCAGCAGUGGGGAAUAUUGCGCAAUGGCCGAAAGGCUGACGCAGCGACGCCGCGUGGGGGAUGAAGCAUUUCGGUGUGUAAACCCCUGUUGCCCGGGACGAACAACUGGAUUCUUCCAGUCUGACGGUACCGGGUGAGGAAGCACCGGCUAACUCCGUGCCAGCAGCCGCGGUAAUACGGAGGGUGCGAGCGUUGUCCGGAAUCACUGGGCGUAAAGGGCGCGUAGGCGGUCUGCUAAGCGUGUGGUGAAAGCUCGGGGCUCAACCCCGAGUCUGCCAUGCGAACUGGUGGACUUGAGCACUGUAGAGGCAGGUGGAAUUCCGGGUGUAGCGGUGGAAUGCGUAGAGAUCCGGAAGAACACCGGUGGCGAAGGCGGCCUGCUG
RNAcentral lists this ribosomal RNA (499 nucleotides) under uncultured bacterium. RNAcentral describes it as "bacterial SSU rRNA". It matches the Rfam family "Bacterial small subunit ribosomal RNA", at positions 232 to 731 of the family's 1533-position model. The record is from RNAcentral.